RNAcentral lists this ribosomal RNA (572 nucleotides) under Inocybe sp. TO-2011. RNAcentral describes it as "eukaryotic LSU rRNA". The stretch from base 227 to 380 matches the Rfam family "5.8S ribosomal RNA". Lineage: Eukaryota; Fungi; Basidiomycota; Agaricomycetes; Agaricales; Inocybaceae. The record is from RNAcentral.
UCUCUUUGAGACAUGUGCACGCUUGUCAUCUUUAUUUCUCCAACUGUGCACGUAUUGUAGACCUUGGUAUUUUUGAAAUUGUUCGAGUGAAAAUCGAAUAGAUUGAGGAUUGCUGAGCUUUCUCAAAAGACAGCUUUGCCUUGCAUUUCCAGGUCUAUGUUAUUUCACAAACCUUUGUUAUAGAAUGUUGAAUUGGGUCUUUGUACCUAUAAAAGUGUAAAUAUACAACUUUCAGCAACGGAUCUCUUGGCUCUCGCAUCGAUGAAGAACGCAGCGAAAUGCGAUAAGUAAUGUGAAUUGCAGAAUUCAGUGAAUCAUCGAAUCUUUGAACGCACCUUGCGCUCCUUGGUAUUCCGAGGAGCAUGCCUGUUUGAGUGUCAUUAAGUUCUCAACUUGCACUAGUUCUUUCUGGUGCAGCUUGGAUAUGGGGGUGUUAUUUUGCAGGCUUUUCAAAGUCGGCUCCCCUGAAAUGCAUUAGUGGUCUCCGAGCAGAGAAACUGCUACAGGUGUGAUAAUUAUCUAUGCCUUUAGUACUCUGCAUGAACUGCUUCUUAACAAGUGAAUCCCUGUUG